Molecule: ribosomal RNA, 253 nt
Filed under: uncultured bacterium
Lineage: Bacteria
Description: partial 16S ribosomal RNA
Rfam family: Bacterial small subunit ribosomal RNA
Source: RNAcentral
GACGGAGGAUGCAAGCGUUAUCCGGAAUGAUUGGGCGUAAAGCGUCCGCAGGUGGCAGUUCAAGUCUGCUGUCAAAGACCGGGGCUUAACUUCGGAAAGGCAGUGGAAACUGAACAGCUAGAGUAUGGUAGGGGCAGAGGGAAUUCCUGGUGUAGCGGUGAAAUGCGUAGAGAUCAGGAAGAACAUCGGUGGCGAAGGCGGGUCUCUGGGCCGAUACUGACGCUGAGGAGCGGAAGCGUGGGGAGCGAACAGG